RNAcentral lists this ribosomal RNA (1701 nucleotides) under Triticum aestivum (bread wheat). Its description in RNAcentral is "partial small subunit ribosomal RNA". The record is from RNAcentral. Lineage: Eukaryota; Viridiplantae; Streptophyta; Magnoliopsida; Poales; Poaceae.
AUGACUAGUGGCUUUCGUUGUCUUUCCUUCCUGUCUUGGAAUGUUCAGGGGCUUGACGACCCGGACAAGUGUGAUCUUGUCCGGGACGCUCUCUACGCCGCGGGUCCUUCUGUCGUUUGUCUUCAAGAGACCAAACUUGCUUCUCUACGUAAUCUCAAAGCUCGCUCUUUCCUCCCCGCUUCGUUCACAGAGUUUGUCACUAAAGACGCCGAUGAGACGCGCGGGGGGAUCAUCACGGCCUGGGACCCUCGGGUUUUAUCUCUCGACACCUACUUUCGGUCACGUUUCUCUCUCACAGUCUCGCUUUGCUCCACUUGCUCUGACCUAGCCUUCUCCGUCACCAACGUCUACGCCCCUGCCGAUCACUCCCUCACGGCGGCUUUCGUUGACGACGUGCUUGCCCUCGCGCCCUCCAUCCUGGGGGCGUGGUUGGUGGUCGGAGACUUCAACCUCAUCCGGUGGGCGCAUGAAAAGAACAAUAACCGCUUUGACGGGCGACAUGCGUCCACUUUUAAUUCUUUAAUCAACACGAUGGGGUGGCACGAGCUGCCGCUGUCCGAUAGAUUGUUCACCUGGUCGAAUAAACGGGACCCCCCCACGCUCGCUAAGCUGGAUCGGGUUUUCUUCGACUCGCGUUGGGAUGUGCUCUUCCCUGACUCUUCUCUUGCCUUGCGUCCCCGUACCACCUCGGAUCACUUUCCCCUCGUCGCCUCGGUCUCCACUCGCCUCCCUCAGGCAGGGCGUUUCUUCUUCGAAAAUUCGUGGUUGCUGGACCCUAGCUUCCUCCCCGCGGUCUUACCUGCGUGGUCGCGUGUGCCCCGGUCCCCCUGUGCCGCGUCCCGUAUUGCCCGUCAGAAGAAAGGUGUCAGGUCUGCCGCCAAGGUAUGGAAACGGCACCACAAAUACAUUCCUGUUUUUGAUAACAACUGCAAGUUCCUGGUGGACCUGUUUGACUUCCUUGAGGAGCACCGGCGGCUCGCGGCUGCGGAGAUGGCGUUGCGCGACGACGCCUGUCUGGCACUUGCCAACUCGGUGGCUCGCCAGGCUGCUUUCUGGAGGCAGCGUGGGAAAUGUCGAGCCGUGGCGGAAGGGGACGAAAAUACCGGCUACUGCCACGCCCGUGCUUCGCAUCGACGGCGUUGCAACACCAUCCGGGUGCUCGCGGUGGGAGGGGGUGAGCUCGUCUCCCACAACGACAAGGAGGCCGCCCUGAGACGCUUCUACGCCAACCUGCUGGGCCGGGCUCCCCGCGCAUCAUGGGGGUUCGAUCUGGCGGCGCUUUACACUGGCGCUCCGAUGGUCGAUGGCUCCGCUGGUUGACCGUUCUCUCACUCCGAGGUCCGGGAGGCUGUCUUCGCUCUCGACAGGACCAGCGCGCCGGGGCCGGAUGGGCUCGGCCCGGCCUUCUACCAGGCCGCCUGGAGCGUGGUCGCGGAUGACCCGCUCGCCCUCUUCGACGUCGUCCACAACGGCACUGCUAAUCUCGGCUGGAUCAACCGCGCCCUCAUCGCCCUCCUUCCCAAAAAGGAGGGGACCCCGGGGCCCGGCGACUUCCGUCCCGUCUCUCUUCAGAACGGUGAUGUGAAGAUCCUGUGUCGGGGGCUCACCACUCGGCUUCAGCGGCAGAUUGGGCUCUUGAUCGACGAUGACCAAUCCGGGUUCCUGCCUGGGAGAAGUAUCUCGGAGAAUUUCGUCUACGCA